GUGCAGUUGGUCCCCCUGGCUUCGCUGGUGAGAAGGGUCCCUCUGGAGAGGCUGGUACUGCUGGACCUCCUGGCACUCCAGGUCCUCAGGGUCUUCUUGGUGCUCCUGGUAUUCUGGGUCUCCCUGGCUCGAGAGGUGAACGUGGUCUACCAGGUGUUGCUGGUGCUGUGGGUGAACCUGGUCCUCUUGGCAUUGCCGGCCCUCCUGGGGCCCGUGGUCCUCCUGGUGCUGUGGGUAGUCCUGGAGUCAACGGUGCUCCUGGUGAAGCUGGUCGUGAUGGCAACCCUGGGAACGAUGGUCCCCCAGGUCGCGAUGGUCAACCCGGACACAAGGGAGAGCGCGGUUACCCUGGCAAUAUUGGUCCCGUUGGUGCUGCAGGUGCACCUGGUCCUCAUGGCCCCGUGGGUCCUGCUGGCAAACAUGGAAACCGUGGUGAAACUGGUCCUUCUGGUCCUGUUGGUCCUGCUGGUGCUGUUGGCCCAAGAGGUCCUAGUGGCCCACAAGGCAUUCGUGGCGAUAAGGGAGAGCCCGGUGAAAAGGGGCCCAGAGGUCUUCCUGGCUUAAAGGGACACAAUGGAUUGCAAGGUCUGCCUGGUAUCGCUGGUCACCAUGGUGAUCAAGGUGCUCCUGGCUCCGUGGGUCCUGCUGGUCCUAGGGGCCCUGCUGGUCCUUCUGGCCCUGCUGGAAAAGAUGGUCGCACUGGACAUCCUGGUACAGUUGGACCUGCUGGCAUUCGAGGCCCUCAGGGUCACCAAGGCCCUGGCCCCCCUGGUCCCCCUGGCCCUCCUGGACCUCCAGGUGUAAGCGGUGGUGGUUAUGACUUUGGUUACGAUGGAGACUUCUACAGGGCUGACCAGCCUCGCUCAGCACCUUCUCUCAGACCCAAGGACUAUGAAGUUGAUGCUACUCUGAAGUCUCUCAACAACCAGAUUGAGACCCUUCUUACUCCUGAAGGCUCUAGAAAGAACCCAGCUCGCACAUGCCGUGACUUGAGACUCAGCCACCCAGAGUGGAGCAGUGGUUACUACUGGAUUGACCCUAACCAAGGAUGCACUAUGGAUGCUAUCAAAGUAUACUGUGAUUUCUCUACUGGCGAAACCUGUAUCCGGGCCCAACCUGAAAACAUCCCAGCCAAGAACUGGUAUAGGAGCUCCAAGGACAAGAAACACGUCUGGCUAGGAGAAACUAUCAAUGCUGGCAGCCAGUUUGAAUAUAAUGUAGAAGGAGUGACUUCCAAGGAAAUGGCUACCCAACUUGCCUUCAUGCGCCUGCUGGCCAACUAUGCCUCUCAGAACAUCACCUACCACUGCAAGAACAGCAUUGCAUACAUGGAUGAGGAGACUGGCAACCUGAAAAAGGCUGUCAUUCUACAGGGCUCUAAUGAUGUUGAACUUGUUGCUGAGGGCAACAGCAGGUUCACUUACACUGUUCUUGUAGAUGGCUGCUCUAAAAAGACAAAUGAAUGGGGAAAGACAAUCAUUGAAUACAAAACAAAUAAGCCAUCACGCCUGCCCUUCCUUGAUAUUGCACCUUUGGACAUCGGUGGUGCUGACCAGGAAUUCUUUGUGGACAUUGGCCCAGUCUGUUUCAAAUAAAU
This 1597-nucleotide long non-coding RNA is filed under the name Homo sapiens (human). RNAcentral describes it as "long non-coding RNA NONHSAT212376.1". The record is from RNAcentral. Lineage: Eukaryota; Metazoa; Chordata; Mammalia; Primates; Hominidae.